CUUCCUGUCCAAAGCCACUUAUUCGCCACUCAUUGUUCCUGGCUAAGGCCACCCUCAGCCUGUUAGAAGAGUGAAGGGCUAGGAAGAAAGUUGUGGGGGAGUUUGCGAUGGUUUUCCCUGGGGCUUUUCUCUAAAUCCCGUGUUUGGAAGUCCUUUCUGAAUGAACUCACACUUGGACUGAAGAGGGAGAUUGCCCAUGAUCCUGAACUCGUUCAGCUGGUGCAUCAGUCAAAUGAGUUGUUCGAGUUUCAAUUGGAGAGAUAAUGCCAUUUAAGAUGAGGAUAACUCCGUGAUGCCUCAGAUGAUUUCAUUGCAGCCUUUGCCUAGACUGCAACAUGGCCAAUAAUGCCACGCCUUGCAUAUGGGUGGCCGUUGUGGCACUUCAGACAUUCUCUAGUAACAGGACCUCGAUGCUGAGAGACAAAAUCUGCAUCCUCACCUGUCAGAUAAGGAGACAGCCCAAAGAGUGAGUGUGGUCACCAGACCAUGCUCUACACGUUAGAACAAAGGACCCCAGAAGCACAUCUGCCCCAGACUCAACCAGAUGGGCUUUGCUGUCCAGACAACAUAGGUGGAGACCUCACAUUUCGAGGGAACGUGGAACACGGAACACUUCAGAUUUUCAACGAUGCUGGAUUUGAGCUGUUCACUUGAAAAUAAAGUCUGUUGCAUCACAAGUGCUGGUUGGCAUCGCUGUCCUCCUAUCAGUGGAUUAAGAAAAGGCACAGCGAAAAACUAGUUUAAAAUCACCAGUCGGAUAUUUUACAGGCGAGGUCCAGCACGAUCACUCACACGGCUGCUGCUAGGCUGGCUCUGCCCGUUAUUCUUCCAUCCUGGCACCAUGCUUCUAAUUUAUCCUGAAUACAUGGAGACUUGAGCACUGAUGGGAUAGAUAAAAAAAACGACAGCAAUCUUCUCUCCAAAAAAGCAACAUAAGACUAGAUAAAAUGGUCAAAAAUAAUCAUUUCAGAAUGAUUCUAGAAAAUGACCAAAGGCAGACAACAAAUUGAGAUGUGUGUUUCGUUUUUUUUGAAUCUACUGGGGCUUGGAAGGAACAGUGGGAGACUAUGGAAUUUUAGCUCAGGGCAGCGUGGUAUAGUUUCACAAUGGAAUACUACUCAGAAAUAAAAGCGAUAAACUGUUGAUACAUGCAACAAUGUGGAUGAAUCUUAAGAUAAUAAUGCUGAGUCAAAGAAGCCAGACAAAAGUAUGUAUAGUGUGAUUCGAAUUAUAUGAAAUUCUACAAAAUAUACACUAAUCUAUAAUGACAGAAAUAGAUCAGGGGUUGCCUGGGGAACUGGGGUGGAGGGUGUGCCAAGAGAGGCAGGAAAGAAGGAUUAUGAAGGGGCAGGAGGAGAGCUUUGGGGAUGGGGAUGUAUUCAUUAUCUUGAUUGUGAUGAUAAAUUCUCCGGUGUACACAUAUAGCAAAAUUUAUCAAAUUAUACACUUUAAACCAUGUGCAGUUUUUGUAUAUGGAUUGUACCAAAAUAAAGUUUUUUAAAGGGAUGCUAAUCAAUGGAUUAUACUACCUGUAGCUUGCCUACACCUCAUCUCCUUCCUCAAAACAGUUAACCUACAGGUACCUAGUAGCUAUUCCAAAACUGCUCCUCGAACUUGUGAAUGAGUAAGAGAAUGAACAAACGCACCCACUUAUCAACCUAUUCUAUGUCCU
This 1672-nucleotide long non-coding RNA is filed under the name Homo sapiens (human). RNAcentral describes it as "HSALNT0169612". Lineage: Eukaryota; Metazoa; Chordata; Mammalia; Primates; Hominidae. The record is from RNAcentral.